Long non-coding RNA from Dromaius novaehollandiae (emu), 1723 nucleotides. RefSeq lists it as uncharacterized. The record is from RefSeq and is a predicted model, not a curated record. NCBI's taxonomy places the organism in Eukaryota, Metazoa, Chordata, Aves, Casuariiformes, Dromaiidae. The transcript has 3 exons.
CAGUUUUGCUUCAAAACCUUCAGCCAGAAGGGAAAUGAUUACAAUUAUCAUCUCCCAGAUGUCCAGCCUCUACCAAGUCAUAAUUACUAGCUUUGAUUCUUACACUACCGAGGAGACUGUUAACUACCUGUCAUUGCUGACAGUGGCUCAGCUUCUUCAAGGAACCCGCACAGUACCACGCCACUUCAUUUGAAAGGGACGGAGUUAAAGCAAAGCCCCGGCUCUUCCGAGAGGCACCGCGCGGUCGGCUCCAACGGCGCCGCAGCGGGCCGGAGAAACGCGGGGUCCCCGCCGCCACCGCCGCCGGAGAAGCGGGCUUUCAGCCGCUCCGAGCCAUGGCUUCUUCUGCACCGAGCCUGCUCGGCGGAGGGAGGAGGGGAGGGGCCGCCAUCGCUAGGAGAGGAGGAUGUCGCUGGGCGUACCGCAGUCCCCGUCCCCCCGCGAGGUUGGUCGUGGUUGUGCGCGGCGCGGCCGCCGCAGCCCUCACCGCCCGCCAGAGCUGCCGCGGGGCUCCCCGGCUGGGGGGCCGCGGUUGGGGUGGUUAGGUGUCAGCGCCCUAGCCUCGGAGGGAGGGGGAAGAGGGAGUGUGCGCUCCGAGGGCCCUGGGGAGGAGGGAGGGUCUCAUCUCCCCACACCCAUCGCAGUGGUGCAGGGAGGACGCUGGUUUCAAUGUUACUAUAUUCUCCCGGGUGGCCGAGUCGGUGUGCGUUAUCCCUCUAGGACGGUUCAGCUUUCGGGAAGAUUUUGGUGGGGGUCGCGCACGCUAACUCCCGCUCAGGGGUGUUUUUUGGGGGCGACGCGAGGAGGACCUGGAGCACGGGGCAGCCCAGCAGGACAGCCCCCGUGCACAGGGAGCUUGGUAGUGACUGGCCUGUAUCAGCCAGCUGUUCAUUAUUAACAGGCACAGCAGCAGCAAUGUGCAACGAACUUUACAAAACAAACAAAGACAGACUCUCUCCGGGCGAGCUGCAGCUCAAGUUAAAGGUGACCUACAAGAGAGAAACGAUCGUCUCCGUGCUCUCAUUUGCUGCCUCGCUGUCCGUGCAAAAGCUGAAAUACGCUUUAUACGCUUUGUCUUUUCGUCUUCCCCCCCCCCCAAAAAAAAAAAAAAAAAAAAGACGGGAAGCCCAGGGCAGUGGUAGGUUUAUGGCAUUCCAGAUGCCGGGGAAGUCAAAUUGUAAUUUACAAUGGAAGGCACAAUUAUGUGAUUAGUCUUCAGUUCGAAACUCGGAAGGACGAUAUUCCCCUCUCCCCUUUUUUUUAGUUUAAAAGCCAAUGUUAACGGACGUGGAGGAGAAGGGAAGAGGGAACCCGCUGAUUUCUUAAAAAUGCACCAUUCUCGUGCCUUUUUAUUUAAAGGCUUCCCACAGUCUCCGGGUCAAUCUGUAGACAAGAACUCGAGCAACACACGGGUAAACAAGACUUCCCUUUUUUAAGUCGACCUCAGAGGCUUUCAGACCUUUCUCUGCCCUAAAGCAGGGAAGGGUGAGAGCCCGGGGGAGUGUGUGGCUGUACACUCCACCUCACGCCGUCCCAGCUUUCGGGGCAGAAGAAUUUCCAUAAUUCAACCCCAGGCAUCCCGCAGCUCUUCCCCCCCGCGAGCGCCAGUUAUUCGCUUCUCCUCGGGGCAUUUCACCCCACACGCGCGGGCUUUCCCCUCCGCCUAACCCUUGCCUCGCCGUGGCCUUUCGCAGUCCAAAGCGCUGUGAAACAUGAAGCCGCA